Long non-coding RNA from Amphimedon queenslandica, 544 nucleotides. RefSeq lists it as uncharacterized. NCBI's taxonomy places the organism in Eukaryota, Metazoa, Porifera, Demospongiae, Haplosclerida, Niphatidae. The record is from RefSeq and is a predicted model, not a curated record. The transcript has 2 exons.
UUAGGUUUGUAUCAAAAUUUUAAAAAUCACAAACACAUAGUAACAGUAAGUAAACACUUGUGUGGAUCAGCAACUGAUUUAACUCUUAGAUGUCUAACCAGAUAUCACUUGGAACGUUCAACAGUCACACCUCCUAUAGCUACACCUCCUUUAUCUGGCAUUAUAAUAGCACUGUGCUGUCAUCAACGCUGUCAAUGGGAUAGUAUAUAUGGAAUUGAGCUAUGGAAAGAACUGGGGUUCAAUUCAAUUGAUUUCCACUUGAUAACACUAAUGAGUAGCUGGGCAGUAUGUGGUCAGCGAUCAGCAGAUAAAGAUACUAAAGGUUACAUUCCUCAUGCUAAAGAACCAAUGGGAUUAAAAUGUAAGGAGCUAAUUAAUCUAAUACGUGUACAUGAACUACGCAAGAACGGUUUCCAAACUCAUCUCUUGUAUUAUGUAGAUAGGAGAACUUCAUUAGAGAAUGUGUUAUUGAUAGCUCUACCUCAUUAAUAUUCAUGCAUGGGCGUGGCUCAUGAAUAUCUUAAUUAUAUUCAUUGAUUGUAAA